GCGACGUCAAUAUCAGUUUUCCAGUUCCAGAUAUAUAUACAGAGACAGGAAUGCAGCGCGGGCGCACAGCUGAGCCUGAGCAGCGCGCAGAACAAGCGCAUGCAUGCGCCACUGCCGGCACACUAAUUAUUUCUGCCCACAUAUAUGGGUGCUGCUGGGACUGGGAGGCAGUGUCCACCAGGCAUGAGUCCAAGCUCGUGCACUGCACACGUGAGUUGACAGUUGACACCAGGCUCAUGAGCAUGAAGCUUCCAACACACACACACAUAUACACUCUGCCACCUCUCUCUCUCUCUCUCUCUCUCUCUCUCUCUA
RNAcentral lists this long non-coding RNA (315 nucleotides) under Zea mays. RNAcentral describes it as "long non-coding RNA NONZMAT000169". Lineage: Eukaryota; Viridiplantae; Streptophyta; Magnoliopsida; Poales; Poaceae. The record is from RNAcentral.